Molecule: unclassified non-coding RNA, 240 nt
Filed under: soil metagenome
Description: partial contains 5.8S ribosomal RNA, internal transcribed spacer 2, and large subunit ribosomal RNA
Source: RNAcentral
AACACUGUUAACCUGCGGUACCUGCGGAAGGAUCAUUACGAGAGUGUCACCACUCCCAACCCAUUGUUUACCUACCCGUCCACCGUGCUUCGGCAGGCAGCCCUGUGGGACAGAGCCUCGCCCCCUUUCGCGGGGGGUGCCUGCCGCUUGCCAACCAAAACUCUAGCUGUUUUAGUACCAUCUGAGUCUUCCACAAAUGAACAAAACUUUUAACAAUGGAUCUCAGAUCGGAAGAGCACA